CAGUCGCCGCGGGAAUACGUAGGGUGCGAGCGUUAAUCGGAAUUACUGGGCGUAAAGCGUGCGCAGGCGGUUUUGUAAGACAGGCGUGAAAUCCCCGGGCUCAACCUGGGAAUGGCGCUUGUGACUGCAAAGCUAGAGUGCGGCAGAGGGGGAUGGAAUUCCGCGUGUAGCAGUGAAAUGCGUAGAUAUGCGGAGGAACACCGAUGGCGAAGGCAAUCCCCUGGGCCUGCACUGACGCUCAUGCACGAAAGCGUGGGGAGCAAACAGGAUUGGAUACCCCAGUAGUCCCUGUCUCUUAUAC
Molecule: ribosomal RNA, 301 nt
Filed under: uncultured bacterium
Lineage: Bacteria
Description: partial 16S ribosomal RNA
Rfam family: Bacterial small subunit ribosomal RNA
Source: RNAcentral